GAUCUUCAUAUGAAGCUAAUGGAAACUCAAGCAUCUUGUCAAUUCGAGGGGCAUUGACAGAAACAUCAGGAGACUUAAUACAGUCAAGAAAACUGAGACUCGGCCUUCGAGGUAAUUCUUGAACUGCUGCCUUGUUUGUCAAUGGCAAAGAUGCCCUACGAGUUGUAGAAACAGAUCUCUUCACCAGGGUUCGUGAAGCCUGUCAAGCAUAGAGUAGUCAAACGACAGGUGUUGGGAACUAGAAUUUCAUAUAAUCAUAUUACUGCUUCAAGUACAUAAGCUUAUAUCCAUGAUUUUCAGAGCAUAGAUAUAAAAGCAACCACAUGUUAUUUUCUUCAUUUUUAAACCGGUAAGAAGUUGGUACACGAAGGCACUAAUAAAGCAGUUCAAAGGCAUAAUUACUGAGAGACCAAACCACUCAGCUACGAAAAAAAAUAGAAUUUACAUUAUCAAAUGAAUCUACUAGGGAAUCUACCUAGUCUACUCUAUUUUCUAUACACAAAAAGUGAAACAACAAGAUACAAUUCAUCUUGAGCUUCUGUGUUGAGGUCUGCCUAUCUUUAAUGUGUUCUUUUGUUUUCCUUUUGCUUUUUCUGCUCUCUCGUGUGACGUUGUUCGAUUUCACUCGCAAUGUAUUUUUAUCUAACUAGUUUAUCAUAUAAUAAUAAUUGUGAAAAUGAAUAUUAAAAUUGUUACUGGCAAUUAUCUAAAGCUAAUUUGAUGGAACAUAUCCUGGUUUGGGCAUUCCAAACAGUUCAUCAAGAUCCAAAUGAAUAUCACAAUAUUAGGUAAAUUUUAGGAUACUGGCUUUUCAUUUCACAUAUAAGUUGACACCAUCAAAGAUUUAGUGAGAAACCAUUUUCUCUAAAUCUGUUGCAAUGACAAACUAUUGAAUAUAUUAGUUUUUAUAUAUUGGUAUUUGCCUACUUUGUUGUACAUCAGUUGAAUCGCUUGGACGUUCUUGUCUAGAAUAAAAUCCAUUUAUUUUUAUAAAAUAGAAAGAAGUAAAAUGGAUAAGCUUUUACUUGUAACCUUACCAUAUCGCUGUUCCUUAGAUCCACUUGUCUUCUUGGAGUAGUAGUCAAUUUUGGCACGAUCACCUUUGGAUUCUUAUUCACAAGCAAAGCUUUAGAAGUGAUUUUUUUUGUGACAGUUGAUCCUCUAUCAGGGCUUCCAACAGACAAUUCAGAUACUCUGCUUGGUGUUUUUGGAUAUCUACGAUUUGAAAAAGUAUAAUCGUGAUCAGAGACACUAGGAUUCAAAGUCCUAUCAUUUCCACAUGACAUUCGCUUCUCUCUGUUC
This 1302-nucleotide long non-coding RNA is filed under the name Solanum melongena (eggplant). RNAcentral describes it as "long non-coding RNA (SMEL_LNC000040)". Lineage: Eukaryota; Viridiplantae; Streptophyta; Magnoliopsida; Solanales; Solanaceae. The record is from RNAcentral.